UUUAUGGAGAGUUUGAUCCUGGCUCAGGAUGAACGCUGGCGGCGUGCCUAAUACAUGCAAGUCGAGCGAACGGACGAGAAGCUUGCUUCUCUGAUGUUAGCGGCGGACGGGUGAGUAACACGUGGAUAACCUACCUAUAAGACUGGGAUAACUUCGGGAAACCGGAGCUAAUACCGGAUAAUAUUUUGAACCGCAUGGUUCAAAAGUGAAAGACGGUCUUGCU
RNAcentral lists this ribosomal RNA (223 nucleotides) under Staphylococcus aureus. RNAcentral's name for it is "partial 16S ribosomal RNA". It matches the Rfam family "Bacterial small subunit ribosomal RNA", at positions 1 to 219 of the family's 1533-position model. The record is from RNAcentral. Lineage: Bacteria; Bacillati; Bacillota; Bacilli; Caryophanales; Staphylococcaceae.